RNAcentral lists this ribosomal RNA (497 nucleotides) under uncultured bacterium. Its description in RNAcentral is "partial 16S ribosomal RNA". It matches the Rfam family "Bacterial small subunit ribosomal RNA", at positions 28 to 507 of the family's 1533-position model. The record is from RNAcentral.
GACGAACGCUGGCGGCGUGCCUAACACAUGCAAGUCGAGCGAAAAGACCCGGCGCUUGCUCCUUUGUCGUUAGCCGCGGACGGGUGAGUCACACGUGUAUAAUCCCCCUAACAGACUGGGAUCACCUCGGGAAACCGGCUCUAAUACCGUAUAAUAUAUUGCACCGUAUGGUUCAUUAGUGAAAGACGGUGUUUGUGUCAGUAAUAGAUGGUUCCGCGCUGGUUGAGAUGGUUGGUAAGGUAAUGGCUUACCAAGGGGACGAUGCGUAGGCGAACUAAGAGAGUGAUCGCCCACACGGGAACUGAAACGCGGUCCAGGCGCCUACGGGACGCCGCAGAAGGGUAUGGUCCGCAGUAGGCGAAAGCAUGACGGAGCAACGCCACGUGAGAGAUGAAGGUCUCCGGAGCGUAAAGCUCUGUUAUUAGGGAAGAACAAAUGUGUAAGUAACUGUAGACGGCUUGACGGUACCGAAUCAGAAAGCCACGGCUAACUACGUG